AGCGAACGCUGGCGGCAGGCCUAACACAUGCAAGUCGAACGAACCUUUCGGGGUUAGUGGCGGACGGGUGAGUAACACGUGGGAACGUGCCUUUAGGUUCGGAAUAACUCAGGGAAACUUGUGCUAAUACCGAAUGUGCCCUUCGGGGGAAAGAUUUAUCGCCUUUAGAGCGGCCCGCGUCUGAUUCGCUAGUUGGGUGGGGUAAUGGCUCACCACGGCGACGAUCAGUAGCUGGGGGGAGAGGAUGAUCAGCCACAUUGGGACUGAGACACGGCCCAAACUCCUACGGAAGGCAGCAGUGGAGAAUCUUGCGCAAUGGGCGAAAGCCUGACGCAGCCAUGCCGCGUGAAUGGUGAAGGGCUUAGGAUUGUAAAAUUCUUUCACCGGGGACGAUAAUGACGGUACCCGGAGAAGAAGCCCCGGCUAACUACGUG
Molecule: ribosomal RNA, 434 nt
Filed under: uncultured bacterium
Lineage: Bacteria
Description: partial 16S ribosomal RNA
Rfam family: Bacterial small subunit ribosomal RNA
Source: RNAcentral